Molecule: ribosomal RNA, 250 nt
Filed under: Klebsiella pneumoniae
Lineage: Bacteria; Pseudomonadati; Pseudomonadota; Gammaproteobacteria; Enterobacterales; Enterobacteriaceae
Also listed under: 1 other name
Description: partial 23S ribosomal RNA
Rfam family: Bacterial large subunit ribosomal RNA
Source: RNAcentral
UGCUGGAGGUAUCAGAAGUGCGAAUGCUGACAUAAGUAACGAUAAAGCGGGUGAAAAGCCCGCUCGCCGGAAGACCAAGGGUUCCUGUCCAACGUUAAUCGGGGCAGGGUGAGUCGACCCCUAAGGCGAGGCCGAAAGGCGUAGUCGAUGGGAAACAGGUUAAUAUUCCUGUACUUGGUGUUACUGCGAAGGGGGGACGGAGAAGGCUAUGUUAGCCGGGCGACGGUUGUCCCGGUUUAAGCAUGUAGGC